GCCUGACGGAGCAACGCCGCGUGAGGGAGGAAGGCCUGUGGGUUGUAAACCUCUUUUCUCAAGGAAGAAGUUCUGACGGUACUUGAGGAAUCAGCAUCGGCUAACUCCGUGCCAGCAGCCGCGGUAAGACGGAGGAUGCAAGCGUUAUCCGGAAUUAUUGGGCGUAAAGCGUCCGUAGGCGGCUUCAAAAGUCUGUUGUUAAAUCCCACAGCUCAACUGUGGAUCGGCGAUGGAAACUGUGAGACUAGAGAGUGGUAGGGGUAGAGGGAAUUCCUAGUGUAGCGGUGAAAUGCGUAGAUAUUAGGAAGAACACCAGUGGCGAAGGCGCUCUACUGGGCCAUUACUGACGCUGAUGGACGAAAGCUAGGGGAGCGAAAGGGAUUAGAUACCCCUGUAGUCCUAGCUGUAAACGAUGGAUACUAGGUGUUGGCCGUAUCGACCCGGUCAGUAUCGAAGCAAACGCGUUAAGUAUCCCGCCUGGGGAGUACGCACGCAAGUGUGAAACUCAAAGGAAUUGACGGGGGCCCGCACAAGCGGUGGAGUAUGUGGUUUAAUUCGAUGCAACGCGAAGAACCUUACCAGGGAUUGACAUCCUACGAA
RNAcentral lists this ribosomal RNA (600 nucleotides) under uncultured Antarctic cyanobacterium. RNAcentral's name for it is "bacterial SSU rRNA". It matches the Rfam family "Bacterial small subunit ribosomal RNA", at positions 381 to 995 of the family's 1533-position model. The record is from RNAcentral. Lineage: Bacteria; Bacillati; Cyanobacteriota.